UACGAAAGGGGCUAGCGUUGUUCGGAAUUACUGGGCGUAAAGCGCGCGCAGGCGGUCUUCCAAGUCAGUGGUGAAAGCCCGGAGCUCAACUCCGGAACUGCCAUUGAAACUGUUAGACUUGAGGAUGAGAGAGGUGAGUGGAAUUCCCAGUGUAGAGGUGAAAUUCGUAGAUAUUGGGAAGAACACCGGUGGCGAAGGCGGCUCACUGGCUCAUUACUGACGCUCAGGCGCGAUAGCGUGGGGAUCAAACAGG
This 253-nucleotide ribosomal RNA is filed under the name uncultured bacterium. RNAcentral describes it as "partial 16S ribosomal RNA". It matches the Rfam family "Bacterial small subunit ribosomal RNA", at positions 524 to 776 of the family's 1533-position model. The record is from RNAcentral.